This 497-nucleotide ribosomal RNA is filed under the name uncultured bacterium. RNAcentral describes it as "partial 16S ribosomal RNA". It matches the Rfam family "Bacterial small subunit ribosomal RNA", at positions 28 to 507 of the family's 1533-position model. The record is from RNAcentral.
GAUGAACGCUGGCGGCGUGCCUAAUACAUGCAAGUCGAGCGAACGGACGAGAAGCUUGCUUCUCUGAUGUUAGCGGCGGACGGGUGAGUAACACGUGGAUAACCUACCUAUAAGACUGGGAUAACUUCGGGAAACCGGAGCUAAUACCGGAUAAUAUUUUGAACCGCAUGGUUCAAAAGUGAAAGACGGUCUUGCUGUCACUUAUAGAUGGAUCCGCGCUGCAUUAGCUAGUUGGUAAGGUAACGGCUUACCAAGGCAACGAUUCAUAGCCGACCUGAGAGGGUGAUCGGCCACCCGGGAACUGAGACACGGUCCAGACUCCUACGGGAGGCAGCAGUAGGGAAUCUUCCGCAAUGGGCGAAAGCCUGACGGAGCAACGCCGCGUGAGUGAUGAAGGUCUUCGGAUCGUAAAACUCUGUUAUUAGGGAAGAACAUAUGUGUAAGUAACUGUGCACAUCUUGACGGUACCUAAUCAGAAAGCCACGGCUAACUACGUG